RNAcentral lists this ribosomal RNA (251 nucleotides) under uncultured prokaryote. Its description in RNAcentral is "partial 16S rRNA". It matches the Rfam family "Bacterial small subunit ribosomal RNA", at positions 525 to 775 of the family's 1533-position model. The record is from RNAcentral.
ACGGGGGGUGCUAGCGUUGUUCGGAAUCAUUGGGCGUAAAGAGCGUGUAGGCGGCUGGAUAAGUCAGAUGUGAAAGCCCUGGGCUUAACCCAGGAAGUGCAUUUGAAACUGUUCAGCUUGAGUAAGGGAGAGGAAAGUGGAAUUCCUGGUGUAGAGGUGAAAUUCGUAGAUAUCAGGAGGAACACCGGUGGCGAAGGCGACUUGCUGGCCAGCAACUGACGCUGAGGCGCGAAAGCCAGGGGAGCAAACGG